Molecule: ribosomal RNA, 1411 nt
Filed under: Psychrobacter glacincola
Lineage: Bacteria; Pseudomonadati; Pseudomonadota; Gammaproteobacteria; Moraxellales; Moraxellaceae
Description: 16S ribosomal RNA
Rfam family: Bacterial small subunit ribosomal RNA
Source: RNAcentral
GAUGAACGCUGGCGGCACGGCUUAACACAUGCAAGUCGAGCGGAAACGAUGAUAGCUUGCUAUCAGGCGUCGAGCGGCGGACGGGUGAGUAAUACUUAGGAAUCUACCUAGUAGUGGGGGAUAGCACGGGGAAACUCGUAUUAAUACCGCAUACGACCUUUACGGGAGAAAGGGGGCAGUUUACUGCUCUCGCUAUUAGAUGAGCCUAAGUCGGAUUAGCUAGAUGGUGGGGUAAAGGCCUACCAUGGCGACGAUCUGUAGCUGGUCUGAGAGGAUGAUCAGCCACACCGGGACUGAGACACGGCCCGGACUCCUACGGGAGGCAGCAGUGGGGAAUAUUGGACAAUGGGGUGAAACCCCGGCUGAUCCAGCCAUGCCGCGUGUGUGAAGAAGGCCUUUUGGUUGUAAAGCACUUUAAGCAGUGAAGAAGACUCAAUGGUUAACUACCCAUUGACGAUGACAUUANCUGCAGAAUAAGCACCGGCUAACUCUGUGCCAGCAGCCGCGGUAAUACAGAGGGUGCAAGCGUUAAUCGGAAUUACUGGGCGUAAAGCGAGCGUAGGUGGCUUGAUAAGUCAGAUGUGAAAUCCCCGGGCGUUAAAACCUGGGAACUGCAUCUGAAACUGUCAGACUAGAGUAGGUGAGAGGGAGGUAGAAUUUCAGGUGUAGCGGUGAAAUGCGUAGAGAUCUGAAGGAAUACCGAUGGCGAAGGCAGCCUCCUGGCAUCAUACUGACACUGGAGGCUCGGGAAAGCGUGGGUAGCAAACAGGAUUAGAUACCCUGGUAGUCCACGCCGUAAACGAUGUCUACUUCAGUCGUUGGGUCCCUUGAGGACUUAGUGACGCAGCUAACGCAAUAAGUAGACCGCCUGGGGAGUACGGCCGCAAGGUUAAAACUCAAAUGAAUUGACGGGGGCCCGCACAAGCGGUGGAGCAUGUGGUUUAAUUCGAUGCAAGCGCGAAGAACCUUACCUGGUCUUGACAUAUCUAGAAUCCUGCAGAGAUGCGGGAGUGCCUUCGGGAAUUAGAAUACAGGUGCUGCAUGGCUGUCGUCAGCUCGUGUCGUGAGAUGUUGGGUUAAGUCCCGCAACGUAGCGCAACCCUUGUCCUUAGUUACCAGCGGGUUAAGCCGGGAACUCUAAGGAUACUGCCAGUGACAAACUGGAGGAAGGCGGGGACGACGUCAAGUCAUCAUGGCCCUUACGACCAGGGCUACACACGUGCUACAAUGGUAGGCUACAGAGGGCAGCUACACAGCGAUGUGAUGCGAAUCUCAAAAAGCCUAUCGUAGUCCCAGAUUGGAGUCUGCAACUCGACUCCAUGAAGUAGGAAUCGCUAGUAAUCGCGGAUCAGAAUGCCGCGGUGAAUACGUUCCCGGGCCUUGUACACACCGCCCGUCACACCAUGGGAGU